RNAcentral lists this ribosomal RNA (253 nucleotides) under uncultured bacterium. RNAcentral describes it as "partial 16S ribosomal RNA". It matches the Rfam family "Bacterial small subunit ribosomal RNA", at positions 524 to 776 of the family's 1533-position model. The record is from RNAcentral.
UACGGGGGGGGUAAGCGUUGUUCGGAAUUACUGGGCGUAAAGGGCUCGUAGGCGGCCAACUAAGUCGGAUGUGAAAUCCCCAGGCUCAACUUGGGAACUGCAUCCGAUACUGGAUGGCUUGAAUUCGGGAGAGGGAUGCAGAAUUCCAGGUGUAGCGGUGAAAUGCGUAGAUAUCUGGAGGAAUACCGGUGGCGAAGGCGGCAUCCUGGACCGACAUUGACGCUGAGGAGCGAAAGCUAGGGGAGCAAACAGG